GACGAACGCUGGCGGCGUGCUUAACACAUGCAAGUCGAACGGAAAGGCCCCUUUGGUGGUACUCGAGUGGCGAACGGGUGAGUAACACGUGAGUAACCUGCCCUUGACUUCGGGAUAACUUCAGGAAACUGGGGCUAUAGCUGAUAAGGAAUCCUAUCUUGAUGGGGGUGGUUGGAAAGCUUCGGGGGUUUUGGAUGGACUCGCUCGUUAUCAGCUUGUUGGUGGGGUAGUGUGUUACCAAGGCUUUGAGGGGUAGCCGGCCUGAGAGGGCGACCGGCCACAUUGGGACUGAGAUACGGCCCAGACUCCUACGGGAGGCAGCAGUGGGGAAUAUUGCACAAUGGGCGGAAGCCUGAUGCAGCAACGCCGCGUGCGGGAUGACGGCCUUCGGGUUGUAAACCGCUUUCAGCAGGGGCGAAGCUUGUGGUGACGGUACCUGCAGAAGAAGCACCGGCUAACUACGUG
Molecule: ribosomal RNA, 465 nt
Filed under: uncultured bacterium
Lineage: Bacteria
Description: partial 16S ribosomal RNA
Rfam family: Bacterial small subunit ribosomal RNA
Source: RNAcentral